UACGUAGGGCGCAAGCGUUAUCCGGAAUUAUUGGGCGUAAAGAGCUCGUAGGCGGUUUGUCGCGUCUGCCGUGAAAGUCCGGGGCUCAACUCCGGAUCUGCGGUGGGUACGGGCAGACUAGAGUGAUGUAGGGGAGACUGGAAUUCCUGGUGUAGCGGUGAAAUGCGCAGAUAUCAGGAGGAACACCGGUGGCGAAGGCGGGUCUCUGGGCCGAUACUGACGCUGAGGAGCGAAAGCAUGGGUAGCGAACAGG
This 253-nucleotide ribosomal RNA is filed under the name uncultured bacterium. Its description in RNAcentral is "partial 16S ribosomal RNA". It matches the Rfam family "Bacterial small subunit ribosomal RNA", at positions 524 to 776 of the family's 1533-position model. The record is from RNAcentral.